UAUACUAUUUCUGUGCCAAAAUAUUCAUCAAACACUUGUAUAUAUAAACCAAGAGCUAAAACUACUUCUAUUUUAAGACGGAAGGGUACUAAUAUUCUCGAAACCUUUACCACUAGCGUGAGCUGAACUGCUGAAGUAAAGCUACUACCAAGCCCUGUUAGAGAUGUGCAUUUUGACAUGAAGACUAGGAAUCGUCUAACUCUGUGUCUUGAUAUUGUUUACCCUUCGCUGCACUUGUGUAUUGGCGACUAGAACAACUCUGCAUAUGAACUUGCUGCUUGCUACGGCACCCAUUACAGCUGGUCGAGUGACCUCACUGGAGUGGAGCUGAACCUGCAUGCAUGGUCAAUAACUCAGUAUAUCAUGCCAAGUUAGGGCUUAUUCGGUUGGCUCUCAAUCCAUGUGGAUUGAGUGGGAUUGGAUGGGUUUGAAUCCCAGACAAGUCAAACGUCUUCACAAUUUUUUCCAAUCCCAUAUAAUCUAUGUGUAUUGGGAAUAACCGAACAAGCCCUUAUGGGCGUGGAGAUCCCAUGCAUGCAUAUGCAUGAACUACCAACUGUGGCCUCCUCUCCUCUCUUCUCCUCUCCUAUGUAGCUGGUGUGGGGGAAAAUGUGAACGGAUGUUCAGUUUUCCUCCCUUGAUUUUCGGCAACGCCGCCACUCGAGUCCUCGUCACUCAGUUUGUUUUGGUUUGCUGUCUAACUUAACAUAUUUUGUCUAACUUUUUCUUAGCAUAAGAGCAACUCCAGUAGAUUGUGAAAAAAGUCGGCCCGAAAAACCAGUUUUGAGGGAUACUAUAAUUUUUUCAUAGGCUAAAAGUAUGUACGCGCACAGCAGCUCCCUAAUAAACUAAUAGCCCAAUAUUUAAAAUAUGCCACGUCAAGGCUAUGGCCCAAAUGAGUUGAUGCUACGCCACCAGGAAAAAGGCGUCAAAUUAGCUGAUCUACGCCAUGGCCCAAAUUAGUGCUACUUUGUCCACGUGAUCGGAGAAACGACCACCACCGCUAGAAAAACUAGGGCAGAUUCAUUAUUUGUUGUGUGCGCCGCCGACAGAAAAAAGUAGGGCAAUUAGAAAAAGAAUAAUUGAUGAGUGGACAAAGCAGACUUGUUAAGCAGGUGUUGGAUUCAUCAUCCUCAGAUGACGAAGAAGAAUUCUUUUUCAAUGCCGCGCAUUUGAUCAUUGAUGAAGAUCAGUUUGAUGAAGAAUCGAGACGCCGCGGUUCUGUUCAUGGCCGUCAAACGGUUCGACGUAAUAGAGAGGAAGGACACGUGAGGCUAUAUCAAGAUUAUCUUGCAGAUUAUCAAACCUAUGGCCCAAGUUAUUUUAGGCGACGGUAAGGAAUCAAUUAUUCCACGUUGGUUAUCUUGAGUUGUAAUAAUUUGAUUUGAGUUUGAUUAAUAUAUAUAUAUAGGUUUCGAAUGCGGCGUACACUUUUUAUACGCAUUCUCAAUGCUGUCGAACAUCAUGAUGAAUAUUUUGUUCAAAAAAGAAACGCAGCCGGAAAGCUUGGGUUAUCUAGUUUGCAGAAGGUUACUGCUGCUUUACGGAUGCUAACUUAUGGAAUGGCAGCUGAUGCUACAGAUGAUUACAUUCGUAUUGGUGAGAGUACUGCUAUUGAGAGUCUACGAAGGUUUGUCACAGCUAUUGUUCAAGUUUUUGGAGAUGAGUACUUGAGAGAGCCCGACGAAUAUGACACUGCUAGAUUACUUGCAGUUAAUGAGAGUAGAGGUUUUCCAGGUAUGCUUGGGUCCAUAGACUGCAUGCACCGGAGGUGGAAAAAUUGCCCGUCUGCAUUGCAAGGUAUGUACUCCCUCCAGUGCAGUAAAGGUAGUCGUUUAGGACAUGAUUGUGCAUACCAAGGAGUGAUUAAUUAUCAUAGAGUUUUCCCUGUUUGCCCCUAUUAAAUAGGGAUAUGGGUGCAUUAACGUCACUAAAACAAUCAGGCUUGAUUGGUUGCUGCAGCAGCUUCAAGGCAUUCUAGACUGGAGGUCUCAAGUUCGAUUCCUCUUAAAUGCAUCUUUUUUUGUGCAAUUACUAGGGGCAACAACGUCCAAAUCCCAGACCCACGCGCGCUAUGACUUCUUUUUGUGCACGCUCGGUCACGCGCAGGAUGACUUCUUUUACUGCACCGGAGGGAGUAUAGUGGACAUGUGCAUGAACCCACAAUUAUACUAGAAGCAGUGGCUUCUAAAGAUCUUUGGAUUUGACAUGCUUUCUUUGGAAUGCCUGGGUCGCAUAAUGACAUCAACGUAUUGCAACGAUCUUCGAUUUUUGCAAGGCUAGCAGAAGGGCAAGCUCCAAAGGUGAAUUAUAUUAUCAAUGGUCAUGAGUACACAAUGGGUUAUUAUCUUGCAGAUGGUAUAUAUCCUUCAUGGGCGACGUUUGUGAAGACCAUACCAGAGCCACAAGGUAUGAAGAAAAAAUAUUUUGCUGAAGUCCAAGAAGCCUGUAGGAAGGAUGUGGAACGUGCAUUUGGUGUGCUACAAUCUCGUUUUGCUAUAGUUCGUGGGCUAGCUCGUUUUUGGGAUGAAGAGACACUUAAUAAAAUCAUGACAUCUUGUAUAAUUAUGCACAACAUGAUAGUUGAGGAUGAGCGAGAUGAACACGAUGACUUCAAUUAUGACACUAUGGGUGAAAAUGUUAAAAUUUCCCAUGAAUCCACACCUGAUCUGGAUGAGUUUAUUGCAAAUUACCAGACAAUUAAAGAUCGAUCAACGCACACACAACUUCAGGAUGACCUUGUUGAGCACCUAUGGAAACACUAUGGAGAUCAGAAUUGAGGGAUAGACUUAGUUGUAUUUAGCAUUAUUAUUUUUAUUUGAAAACAAUGAAAAAACCAAAUGCCUACUUGAUUCAAGAUAUCUGCAUGAUCUGUUUCAGCUAUUGUACUACAGCUAGCUCUCCUAAAGCUACUGUACUUCAUGAGAUCCAUACGAUUUGUUUCAGCUACUGUACUACAAAGGAAACUCUUACUCCUGUGAGAAAUACAAAGGAAUAGAAAAUAAAAAAAAUGUGUGGGCGACAUUUCUGUAGCAAGACGUCUAGAAUUCAAGUCAUGCUUUCUGCAGAGCAAGACAUUGAACAAUAGCUGUGAUAAAAAACACCUGAUGUUUGAAUUCAUCUGUACACUGGCCUGCUUUCCACAGAGCAAGACGUUGUUUUACAGAUAAUAGUACACUGACCUGUUUUUGUUGUCCAGUAUUGAGAUGAUUUCCCAUAAGAAAAUGUGAACGACUAGUAUUUCUAAAUGUAAACAAACACCUGAUGUUUGAAUUAUAUAUGACAAGCUAGUUGUGCAGUAUCCAAUUACAUAUUGCCAAAAGAAAGAAACCUAAAAUCGCAGUGAUAAAAACAGCAAACAUUUUAGCUAAAAAAUAAGCAAAGCUAGUUGUGUAUUAUCCAAUUACAUAGCACCAAAAGAAAGAAACCUAAAUCUAUAGUGAUAAAAAGCAAACAGUUUAGCUAAAGACUAAUCAACACCUAAUGUACCAUGUAACAUUAGGCAUUUUCAGACAAUAUCUUAGAUCGUAGUCUCAUGUAAUAUUGCUUCUGAUCAGCAGGCAUGACACUAAGGUCUAGUGUCAUAAUCCUCUCUUCUUCCCUCUUCUUAUGUUGUUCAACUUCUUGCUGCCUCAAUUCUAGCUCUUUACUCCUUAACUGCAUAUUUAAUUUCUCAUUCGCAGCCCUCUCUUGUUCAACUGCUAAUGCUAAUCUAAACCUCUCGUCUUUUUUCAUUUCUUUAAAUUCAUCUGUUUCUUUCUUCUUUUCAAAUAAUUUGUUUAAAGUUUCUGUGUAGCCUUUCUUUUCAGCUUGAAAUGCUGCUGCUUUGGCCUUCUUCUUUCCAGGUGGUCUUGUUGUGACAGUCUCAUUUGGAGUUGUAGGCUCGCUUGUUUCGGUGGCACUUGGUAAAUGUGGAGGUGAGGUUUCAUUUGAGUUCAUCUUUUGCUUCUUAUUAGAUGACUUGCCAACAGCCAAUUCUUCAAGUUUCAUCUCCCAUUUACGCUGUGUCCGCAACUUAUUCCAACAAUGCAUAUAUGGAAAAGCUUUAUGUUGCUUAUCUUCAGACUUAUAUAAAGCACACGCCUGUGUAAGCUGCACAUAGCAAGAGGAGAAUAUUAAUUUGUGAAGUACACAUAUAUAGACAAUAUGUGAAGGUUGUGCAAAACAAAUCAUUACCUUGUCUUGCAUUGUAGCACCACUUUGCCUUCUUCUCUCAACCUGAGCAAGGCAUCCAGUAAACCUGUUUACACCUUCUUGUAUGCUGGUCCAACGGUGCAUAAUAGAGUUCUGGCUACGGGUUGAGGAGAAGGUCUUAUUGGCAUGAAAGUAGUCAUAAAUUCUAGUCCAAUAUGAACUGCGAGUUUGAUUAUAACCAAUAAUUGGAUCCAAACUUAUGUUAAGCCAUGCAGACACCAAAAGCUCGUCUUCCACGUCACUGAAAUUCUUUGACCUCUUAUGGUUCGGUCUAGCAGAGGGUGCAUAAGUGUUUACUUCGACCCUUUGUGGUUGUUCCUCAGGAUACAAGUCAACUAAAUCGUCAUAGUCUUGUGGAUUUGUGCCUUCACUUAGGAGGCUGGUAUAGUAUCCUGCUAAUGGUACACAAACAAGCUAAUAAAUUAGCAGAAUGUUUAGUUCCAGUCCUACUUAUUAUUUCCUGAAUGUUAAGUUUCAAUCCUAAUACAACAUAAUGUAAUAUAUAUGUUCAAACUUCAAACAAAAGCUAAUGGUUUUAUCUCGCCUCUUGGGCAGCACGAAGUGAAACCUCUUGCUGUAGUAGUGCAGAUCACAUGCCGACCCCAGCCUAAAAACAUCAUCCUGGCAGUGCUAAUAGUUUUAUCUAACAACUAAAUAAUCGAUGGCAUCUACUACUUAGCACUCUGCCACGUCUUAGUAGACUGAAACACCAUCUGAAACAUAUGUAAUUAAAGGCACAAAUCUGAAGCAGUACCAAUUCCUAAUCAAAGUUUUGGAGAAACCAUGGCCAGAUCUAGAUCCAAAUACAUAUAUAUAUCAAGGUUUGGAGGUUUCAUUUCACACUGGAUGAAGGGAAUAGGUGCACGUACCUGUCGUAUGUUCAUCACCGACGAGAUCCGCGCCAACGCUAGAGGAGGAGAGGAGUGCUGCUUAACUAGUCUUAUCCAUUUGCUUCUGCACGCAGGGAGGACAAGCAGCAACUGACAGCGUCAAGAGGUAGAGAUGACAGAUAGAAAGUAGGAUGGCAGAGGAGCAAGAAGCCAGGAAAGUCACAGACCAAAAUAGCAGCCCGGGAGAAGCUAGAUUUGUGCGCGAGAAAAAAGAAGUCACACACCAAAAUAGCAGCCCGGGAGAAGCUGUGUGCGCGGGAAAAAAGAUUGGGGCCUUCCCACCUCCCGCACAAAUGAGGGUCGUCAAGGGAUAUUUUCGGGCUGUGCUACUUUUCCAAAAUAUUUUGGGGAGCUGCUGAAGGAAUGAUUUUCCAUGUAACCCUCAAAAAUAUUGGCUUAGAGCUUCUUUUGGUCAUCUACUGGAGUUGAUCUAAGGUUAGUUCUUCAAUUCGGACGAGUUAACCAAACAGGCCCUCGUGAAUUCUGCACCGGAUUCUUCCAGCUCGACGAAGCUGAAAAUGUAUCCCACUUCUACGCAUUAUAAAUGUUGUCAUUUUGUUGUUGAGUUCGAGCUGUUCUUCUCCAAACUGUGAGCGGCAGUUCUCAUUUUUCUGAGACACCUCGACCGCUCUCCGAGCCGUUUUGCCUUACGUGUAUCCUACUGUACUAAGGCGAGUGCAGCAGGCGCCAAAAACAAACUGCCGACGAGGCAGGAUGAGUAAAAUUAAACAACGGCCGGGUGGGAGCCAACGCGAAAGCCAACAACAGGCUUGCAUUGCAGCAGCUCGAUCUCGAUCGACCAGGGGAUUCCUAGUUCACCAGGUGGCCUGCACUGCACAAACGCAAACAGAAUCUUGAGCGCCCCCAAACUUUUGGCAGCAGGAUGCAUCCACAUGCAGAUGGGUGUAUGUAUAUUCAUGUACUUUUGCUCUCUGACUGCAUCUUUUACCAGCUUUCUCAUCUGGUUCAAGAAUCUCUCGAUCUCUCCUGUGUUUCAGUCCGUGUGCAUAUUAACACACGGAUGGCAGGACUGAAAACUAGGGGAUGGAACCGGGAGUACUCAGCUGCUCUUGAUGUGGGGCGUGGGGAGGCUCCACUUCACGUGCAUGGCGAUGAUAUCGAUCGGCAUCAAGCUUUACACUAGUUCUGAUCCUGGUAUGGUACGUACGGUUCAUUUUUUAAAAAAUGUCGAAAAAAGAAGCUAAAGCAGUGCGUUGAAUAACAGAGGGAAAAUGAAUGGGUUGAUGAAGUGGCCAAACAACAACUAAUGCAAGAUUAUUGUAUUCGCAUACGUACGUAUAUGUACUAGAUAUCUGUUUUCUCUCGAUAUAUAUUCUUCCAGUUCAGUCUAUGUGAACAACUCACCUGAAGCUUGCAACAAGCACAGUCCAAGUGGAGUAGAUUAUAUUAGCAGGCGAUGAUGCAAGAUUCCUUCCCUGCAUCAUGUGCAUGCAUGCUAAUUAAUCAAGAGCAGCAGAUGCAGAUGGACCCAAAUUAACAGGCGGCAAUUGGCAGCACCCAAAGCUAGCUAUAGCCCAAUCAGGCAAUUAGUUUAUCCUGAAUAUGAACCACCACGCACAUGGUCCGAUUAGUUAGAAUGUCAACACGGCUAAUCGAGCUAGCAAACGUGAAAUCUGCUUGCAGGUAGCUGCAUUCCGCUAAUGGUCCGAUGGAAUCGAUGUAUCGAUGCAUGAAUGGAUGCAUUAAUUCCAUCGGACUAUUGGCGGAAUAUGCAGCUGCAAUUCUAACUAAUUUUCCUGUUUUUCUGCCUCUCUUAUGCUCUGUGUUCACAUGGUAGAGCAGCUAGCUAGGAGGUUAGAUGACGAGUACACAGUUUGUCAGUGUUGACAUUAUUAUAUUUCUAAUGAAAGCUUGGCACUUUGGCUCCUAAAUUAAUAAGAGUUUUUCCUUCCAUAUCAAAAAGUGCAAUUCAUGUUUUUUUUGGAGAAAUGAUACAAAACAAAUACCAUCAGAUUGAUCAUGAGAUGUAUUUUCAUACUAAGCUUAGUUGGUGACAUAAAUAUCAGCACCAUUUGUUAUUGACUUGAUCAAAGUGAAAAAUAAUUCUCUCACGCAAAUUGUGUAGUUGCAUUUUUAAGGGGACAGAGAGAGAGGAGUAUACUCCUAGUAACUAAGUUUAUGUAUGUAUGUAUGUUGUAUAAUGAUCCUGAUAUCCAAUCUAUACUAUACUUAAAGCACCAGUUUCAACGGUCGUCUCGCGUCAUCUUUUUAUAAAUAACCCCUCACAGCUAUUUCAAAUUAGUCUAUUGCACGCCAGACACCCCGCGGGCCACAACUCUGGCUCAGACACGUCAUGUCGGCCUGCUGACUGCGUCAGGACAGCCUGUUAGCCCGUCGACCCAUUUGAUUAAACCAGCGUAAAAUGUUAAAAAUGGUGCAGGAGAUAGGUUCGAACACAUGUCAUGAUGGAAGAAAGACGAGAGACACUAGGUACAAUUGUUUAACCAGUAGAAUAUUAUGCUCAGAUGUUUUUAAUAUUGAAUAUAAAUUAUAUAUAUGUAUAUACAUUUUUUGUGAAAUAAAAAAUAUAUAAUCGUAUCGGGCCGGACCUGCACUACGGGCCGAGGCUACAUCCCAAGCACGUCACGACAUUCUUGGCUCUUGCAAACAUUAGAUCGUUUCUGAGACCACAUUGGCGCAAUGGACUCCAUGGUGUUUGAGGUUGCUGAAUUGGAUGGAGCAACAAUAAUUUGUCACACUAACAGUAAAAUGAAAGGUUAUUUGUUAGUUUUAAACGUUAGUAAUUGCUACGAAGUAGCAUAAUUUAUAUGGAGCUAAGAAGUCACAUGAACUCAAACUUAUAAAAAAGAUAUAUCAAAAUAUGGAGUGAUUGCUAAAGUCAGACAUCAAUAAAAACUUUCUCUUAGGUCUCUGUAUGAUAGAAUUAUGUUAUUUUAUAAUCUAUGUUCGUUCAGUCAGUCAUUAUGAACUCUCUUCUAAUCGCUCACUUUAUUGGUCAUGUUAUAUUGGAUUGAGUAAAUAAUAACAUCAGUUAGCCAAAUUUUUUAAAAAAUAUUAUAGUGGAGACAAUCAAUAAAAAAUAUUAAAUUUUUUGGUGGAUACUUUAUAUGGAUAUUGUUGUAAGCCGUCGCAACGCACGGGCAAUCGACUAGUUUAAAUAUAUAUGCCAGUGUCAUACUAUUUUAGGCUAUUCCCAGUCCAAAAUAUUAUAGUCCAAUAUCCAAUAAUGCCACAUAGGAUGAAAAGUAUGAUACCGCUACAAGAUACACCUUCUGUAGUGUAUAGUAUUAUAGUUAUAUGUUUUAAUUAUUUAAUUGGUGUGAUGUUGUGUCUAUGAGAACGGACCCCAAGUAUUAUUUUUUGUGCCACAACCUAAGAUAUGGUGUCUGUCGGGGAGGAAAUCUCCCCGGCCGGGUGGCGAAUUGCACCCGCCCUAAAUCCUAAAGAGAGGAGGGGCCUAAGCGUUUUGCUUGCUACGAGACUGGUGGAUCAACACACGAGAGCACGCGAGGGUUUAGAGUGGUUCGGGCCGCCGGAGCGUAAUACCCUACUCCACUGUGUGAUGUAUUGCUUAGGAGCUUGUAUGAACUUGAGAGUGUCUGCCUAGAGUUGGGUCUCGUAACGUCGCAUGCAUCCCCUUUUAUAGCUGAAGGGGGGCAUGCACAAAGGCACUGAGCCCCGAAAUGUGGGUCCAGGGACAUAGAGAAUAUAACGCUUGGGACUAUAAAUAUUUGUUGUCGGGGCAAUCCCCUUGUGUCCUGUCGUCCGAGAUCUGUGGAUCUUCGGCGUGCAGGGGAAGAUUCUUGUAGAAGGGAUAACACAUUGUGCUGCUUGGCACGGACGCACUGUUCGCCAGCAGACCCAGCAGGCGCGCCACCUGCUGGAUGACCUUGACGCCGCCUGCCAGCGGAUGGGACGGGACACAUUAAAUGUUGAAAGGGCACGUCGCCCGUCAGCGCAGUGACAGGCGGCGCGUCCUCUCCUCAAUAAAUGCAGGGGCUACACGGCUUUACGUCAGGCUCGGCCCGAUGGCUUAUGUCAUGGGCCACAAGCAGCGGGCCUUCGCCUGGGCAGGGAGCAGAGAGCAAGGCCUGCACAUGUGUCGGCAUUGGACCCAUGUAUCCCCCAAGGUCCUUCUCGUUCCGGAACCCUGCCGGGGUUCGGACCUACCCUGGGGCUCCGGACCUUUAUGUAUAUAGGGGCCCGGUGACCCUCUAAGGGGGUUUGGUCUUACUGAGGCAUGGUGCCUUUCCUCGCCAUGUGACGCCCUUUGGCCCGCCCAUCCGGUGGAGUUAGGCGCGGUCCUCCGCGCGGCCAGGAGACGUCGCAGGGGUGCGAUGCCUUUAUGCUGUAGGAGAGGGUACCCCUGAUUUAGGGUACCGACAGUGGCCCCCGGUCCCGCCUCAGGGGAGGGUGCGAGCCUGCAUGUGGGACCAGAGUCUGUCUGGUGGUUGGACCGCUGCUUCCGUGCGCCUGUUGCUGCAAUUAUUGUCGGCCCGCUUAUGACCCCGCCAACUGCCGUGCCUAUUCUUACAGCUGGCUGAUCCGUGACUGUCGUACUUAACGACAUUGCUUGGCCAUGCGCGGGGCUGCCUCGAGUCGCUGCACUGGUUCUGAAAAAUUUACCUUUUCAGAAUUCGUGACAGUCCCGAGAAGACAAGGCAUUGGCGCAGGCGGCGAUGCGGCUUCUUUGCACACGGUAACCGGUGCGUCGGUUACAUGACGUGUGGGCCUGGGCCCCUGAGUUGGACCGCCAGUUGUGGCGGAGCUGAGGGAGCGCACAGCCAUGGGACGGUUGUACGCUUCUUGCGCGACGGUUUGCCUCUUUGACCGCUGGAUACGGCGAAGAUGAAAGGACGCUUAAUCGUGGGGCGGUUGCAUGCCCCUUGCACGGCGGUCCGCCUUCCUAACUGCUAGUUGCCCCGAAAAUGAAGGGGCGCGUAACCGCAGGGCAGUCGCACGCUCCCUCUUAGGGUCAGUUUGCAUGACAUGUGGGGCCUGGCCCCCAUGUCAUAAGGUGGGAUCCUUGGUGCACACUGGGGGAGACUUCACUCGUGACGCUUCAGGGGCGCGAGCGGGAAGAUCUGCCUUUAAAAAGGGGGUCGAUCUCCCGGUCAGUAGUCAUGCCUCGCUCCUCUUGCGACCACCGCACCCUUUCGCCUUCUGGGCCUCCAAAUGGUGUGCGCCGGUGUUCUCUGGAGGGAUCCGCGGCAAGGCCGUCUCUUCCGACGACUUCACCAUGGGAGAGCGUGCACUCGUGGUGGUGUCGCCGAUCUUGUCUUCUUUCCGCUGCUGUUGGAGGGGUGCAACCCCAUGGGAGUUGGUAUCCUUCUACCACCAUUUGGCUUCAAGGAUUUUCAUCAUGCAGCCCGGCUGUAGUCCCCCGCCGAUGGUCACCCAGAAGAAUGACCACCAGCCUCGUGGUGGGGAGAAGCAAGCCUGAAAGGGAAAUGUGCCCUUGGGCCAUUUCUAAGUAUUUUGGUGAUUUAGUGUCCAACACAAGUGCCUAAGUGUUAAAUGGUGGACAAAGUACAAAUCGAGUAUAAAGGUAUGUUUCUCAGACUUAGUACAUUGUUUUAGAGACUAAUGUAUUGUGUCUAAGUGCUGGAAAUAGGAUAAUCAAGUUGAAACUAAAGAUGGCUUUGUUCAGCCAAAGUCAGCCCUGUCUGGGUGCACCGGACUGUCCGGUGGUGCAACAGACAGUGUCCGGUGGUGCACCGGACAUUGUCCGGUGGUGCACCGGACAUUGUCCGGUGCGCCAGGCUAGCUCAGGCGAACUUGCUGCUCUCGGGAAGUGAUUAACAGCGUACGACUAUAAUUCACCGGACUGUCCGGUGUGCACCGGACUGUCCGGUGAGCCAACGGUCGGCCGGGCCAACGGUCGGCCGUACGAUCCGCGCGAGACACGUGGUCGAGCCAACGGUCAGAAGGGGGCACCGGACUGUCUGGUGUGCACCGGACAGUGUCCGGUGCGCCAACGGCUCUCAAGUGCCAACGGUCGGCUUCGCCAAAGAAGGAAAGAAAUCCGCACCGGACAGUGUCCGGUGGUGCACCGGACUGUCCGGUGCGCCAGGCGACAGAAGGCAAGAAUUGCCUUCUUGAAUUGCUCUCAAUGGCUCCUAGCUGCCUUGGGGCUAUAAAAGGGACCCCUAGGCGCAUGGAGGAGAACACCAAGCAUUCUCUAAGCAUUCCUAAGCACCAAGACUUCGAUUCCGCGCAUUUGAUUCUUUGUGAUAGCAAUUGGAGCUCUAUUUGAGUUGUGAACUCAUCGAGUUGUGUUGUGAGCUCUUGUUGCGACUUGUGUGCGUGUUGUCGCUCUGAUUUUGUGUCUUGUGUGCGUUGCUCAUCCCUUCCUUACUCUGUGCUUCUUUGUGAACAUCAAAGUGUAAGGGCGAGAGACUCCAAGUUGUGGAGAUUCCUCGCAAGUGGGAUAUAGUAAAGUGAAAGCAAAACACCGUGGUAUUCAAGUGGGUCUUUGGACCGCUUGAAAGGGGUUGAUUGCAACCCUCGUCCAUUGGGACGCCACAACGUGGAGUAGGCAAGUGUUGGACUUGGCUGAACCACGGGAUAAACCACUGUGCCACCUCUGUGUUGAUCUCUUUGUGGUUAUCGUGUUGUGCAAGCUCUCUUCUCUAGCCACUUGGCUUAAUUGUGCUAACUCCUAAUCAAGUUUUGUGGAUUAAGUUUCAAGUUUUCAUAGGAUCACCUAUUCACCCCCCCUCUAGGUGCUCUCAAUUGGUAUCGGAGCCAUUCUCUUCAAGAAAGGGACUAAUCGCCCGAAGAGAUGGAUCCUAAGGGCAAGGGGAUUGUGAUCAAUGAUAAGGAGAAGGAGUCCUUCGUCAACGAGCCAAAAGAUGACAAGCCUACCAACUCGGGCUCGGGCCACAAACGAAAAGAUGGAAAGAAGAAGAAGACGAGGCACAUCAAGGAGAUUGUCUACUACGACGACAGCGACGAGUCCUCUUCUUCCCAAAAGGACGACGACAACGACUACGAGAAAAAGAAGACGGUUAACUCAAACUUCUCUUUCAAUUAUUCUCGUAUUCCGCAUAGCUCAAAUGCACAUUUGCUUUCCAUUCCUCUUGGCAAACCUCCUCAUUUUGAUGGAGAGGACUACGGAUUUUGGAGUCACAAAAUGCGUAGUCACUUGUUCUCUCUCCAUCCUAGUAUAUGGGAGAUAGUAGAGAGUGGAAUGAAAUUUGAUAGCUCAGAUAGUCCGUUGUUUAUCAAUGAACAGAUUCAUAAAAAUGCACAAGCUACUACUGUGUUGUUAGCCUCAUUGUGCAGGGACGAGUACCAUAAGGUGAGCGGCUUGGACAAUGCCAAGCAGAUUUGGGACACCCUCAAGAUCUCACAUGAGGGGAACGACGUCACCAUGCUCACCAAGAUGGAGUUGGUGGAAGGCGAACUCAGGAGAUUCGCGAUGAUAAGAGGGGAGGAGCCAACCCAGACGUACAACAGGCUCAAAACUCUCGUCAACAAGAUAAGGAGCUAUGGAAGCACGCGAUGGACGGACCAUGACGUUGUCCGCCUAAUGCUAAGGUCCUUUACCGUCCUUGAUCCACAUCUUGUGAACAAUAUUCGUGAGAAUCCUAGGUACACGAAGAUGACGCCCGAGGAGAUCCUUGGAAAGUUCGUAAGCGGACGGAUGAUGAUCAAGGAGGCUAGAUACGUCGACGAUGCAUUAAAUGGCCCAAUCCAAGAGCCUCAAACUAUUGCUCUCAAGGCAACAAGGAGCAAGGAGGCGCUACCUAACAAGGUGGCGCAAGUUGAGGCGGUCGGGCUUAAUGAUGAAGAGAUGGCCCUCAUCAUCAAGCGGUUCAAGACGGCGCUAAAGGGUCGCAAGGAGCACCCCAACAAGAACAAGACGAAAGGGAAGCGCUCCUGCUUCAAAUGUGGUAAGAUUGGUCAUUUUAUCUCUAAUUGUCCCGAUAAUGAUAGUGACCAGGAAAAGAAGAGUGGAAAGUGGGAAAAGAAGAAGAACUACAAGAAGGCGAAGGACGAGGCACAUCUUGGAAAGGAGUGGGAUUCGGAUUGCUCCUCGUCCGACUCCGACAACGAAGGACUCACCGCCACCGCCUUCAACAAGUCAUCCCUCUUCCCCAACGAGCAUCAUACUUGCCUCAUGGCAAGGGAAAAGAAGGUAAGCACUCGUAAUACUAGUACUUAUGCUUCUUCAAGUGAGGAUGAGUCUAGUGAUGAUGAUGAAAUAGAUUAUUCAUGUUUAUUCAAGGGCCUAGAUAGAACUAAGGUUGAUAAAAUUAAUGAAUUAAUUGAUGCCUUGAAUGAUAAGAAUAGGUUAUUAGAAAAGCAAGAGGAUCUUUUGUAUGAAGAGCAUGAUAAAUUUGUUAGUGCACAAAAUUCUCUUGCUCUAGAAGUUAAAAGGAAUGAAAUGCUUUCUUGUGAAUUAUCUACUUGUCAUGAAACCAUUUCUACUUUAAAAGGUGUUAAUGAUGAUUUAAAUGCUAAACUAGAAGUAGCAAAUAAAUCUAACUCUUGUGUAGAACAUGUUAUGAUUUGCACUAGGUGUAAAGAUUUUAACGUUGAUGAUUGUAAUGAACACCUAGUUUCAAUUUCUAAAUUGAAUGAUGAAGUGGCUAGUCUUAAUGCCCAACUUAAGACUAGCAAGAGUGAAUUUGAUAAACUAAAAUUUGCAAGGGAUGCCUACACAGUUGGUAGACACCCCUCAAUUAAGGAUGGCCUUGGCUUCAAGAGGGAAGCCAAGAACUUGACAAGUCAUAAGGCUCCCAUCUCCAUCAAGGAGAAAGGGAAGGCCCCUAUGGCUAGUAGUGCUCAAAAGAACCAUGCCUUCAUGUAUCAUGAUAGGAGACAUUCUAGAAAUGUUUAUAGAAGUUAUGAUGCUUUUAAUUCUCAUACCAUGGUUGCUUCUAGUUCUUCUAUUAUGCAUGAUAGAAAUUUAGCUAGGAGAAAUGUUAUUAAUCACAUGCCUAGAAGAAAUGUUGUUCAUGUUUCUAGGAAAAUAAUAAAUGAACCUUCUACAAUUUAUCAUGCUUGCAAUGCUUCAUUCGAAAUUUGUAGAAAGGAUAGAAAAGUGAUUGCUAGGAAACUAGGGGCAAAAUGCAAGGGUGAUAAAACUUGCAUUUGGGUCCCUAAGGAUAUUGUCACUAACCUUGUAGGACCCAACAAGAGUUGGGUACCUAAGACCCAAGUCUAAAUUUGCCUUGCAGGUUUAUGCAUCCGGGGGAUCAAGCUGGAUUAUCGACAGCGGAUGCACAAACCACAUGACGGGGGAGAAGAAGAUGUUUACCUCCUACGUCAAGAACAAGGAUUCCCAAGAUUAAAUAAUAUUUGGUGAUGGGAAUCAAGGCAAGGUGAAAGGGUUAGGGAAAAUUGCUAUUUCAUCUGAGCACUCUAUUUCUAAUGUGUUUUUAGUUGAGUCGCUUGGAUAUAAUUUGUUAUCUGUUAGUCAAUUAUGCAGUAUGGGAUAUAAUUGUCUAUUCACAAAUGUAGAUGUGUCUGUCUUUAGAAGAAGGUGAUGGUUCAUUAGCUUUUAAGGGUGUAUUAGACGACAAACUCUAUUUAGUUGAUUUUGCAAAAGAGGAGGCCGGUCUAGAUGCAUGCUUAAUUGCUAAGACUAGCAUGGGCUGGCUGUGGCAUCGCCGCUUAGCACAUGUGGGGAUGAAGAACUUUCACAAGCUUCUAAAGGGAGAACACGUGAUAGGUCUAACUAAUGUUACCUUCGAAAAAGAUAGACCUUAUGCAGCUUGUCAAGCAGGGAAACAAGUGGGAAGCUCUCAUCAUGCCAAAAAUGUGAUGACAACAUCAAGACCCCUGGAGUUACUUCAUAUGGACCUCUUCGGACCCGUCGCCGAUCUAAGCAUAGGAGGAAGUAAGUAUGGUCUUGUUAUAGUUGAUGAUUUUUCCCGCUUCACUUGGGUAUUCUUUUUGCAGGAUAAAUCUGAAACCCAAGGGACCCUCAAGCGCUUCCUAAGGAGAGCUCAAAACGAGUUUGAGCUCAAGGUGAAGAAGAUCAGAAGCGACAAUGGGUCCGAGUUCAAGAACCUUCAAGUGGAGGAGUAUCUUGAGGAGGAAGGAAUCAAGCACGAGUUCUCCGCUCCCUACACACCACAGCAAAAUGGUGUGGUAGAGAGGAAGAACAGGACACUUAUAGACAUGGUGAGGACGAUGCUUGGAGAGUUCAAGACACCCGAGCGCUUUUGGGCGGAAGCCAUGAACACGGCUUGCCACGCCAUCAACCGGGUCUACCUUCAUCGCCUCCUCAAGAAGACUUCGUAUGAGCUACUAACCGGUAACAAACCCAAUGUUUCGUAUUUCCGAGUUUUUGGGAGUAAAUGCUACAUUCUAGUGAAGAAGGGUAGGAAUUCCAAAUUUGCUCCCAAAGCAGUAGAAGGGUUUUUGUUAGGUUAUGACUCAAAUACAAAGGCGUAUAGGGUCUUCAACAAAUCAUCGGGUUUGGUUGAAGUCUCUAGCGACGUUGUAUUUGAUGAGACUAAUGGCUCUCCAAGAGAGCAAGUUGUUGAUCUUGAUGAUGUAGAUGAAGAAGACGUUCCAACGGCCGCAAUGCGCACCAUGGCGAUUGGAGAUGUGAGGCCAAUGGAACAAAAGGAGCAAGAUCAACCUUCUUCCUCAACAACAGUGCAUCCCCCAACUCAAGAAGAUGAACAGGUUCAUCAAGAGGAGGCGUGUGAUCAAGGGGGAGCACAAGAUGUUCAUGUGAUAGAGGAAGAAGCGCAACCGGCACCUCCAACUCAAGUUCGAGCGACGAUUCAAAGGGUAGAAGAGGCCUUGCUAGAUCCGGACUGGGUGUUGGCCAUGCAAGAGGAGCUCAACAACUUCAAGAGAAAUUAAGUUUGGACACUGGUGCCUCGUCCCAAGCAAAAUGUUGUGGGAACAAAGUGGGUGUUCCGCAACAAACAAGACGAGCACGGAGUGGUGACAAGGAACAAGGCACGACUUGUGGCAAAAGGUUAUGCCCAAGUCGCAGGUUUGGACUUUGAGGAGACUUUUGCUCCUGUGGCUAGGCUAGAGUCCAUUCGUAUAUUGCUAGCGUAUGCCGCUCACCAUUCUUUCAGGCUGUUCCAAAUGGAUGUGAAGAGCGCUUUCCUCAACGGGCCAAUCAAGGAGGAGGUGUACGUGGAGCAACCCCUGGCUUUGAGGAUGAACGGUACCCCGACCACGUAUAUAAGCUCUCUAAGGCGCUCUAUGGACUUAAGCAAGCCCCAAGAGCAUGGUAUGAAUGCCUUAGAGACUUUUUAAUUGCUAAUGCUUUCAAGGUUGGGAAAGCCGAUCCAACUCUUUUUACUAAGACUUGUGAUGGUGAUCUUUUUGUGUGCCAAAUUUAUGUCGAUGACAUAAUAUUUGGUUCUACUAACCAAAAGUCUUGUGAAGAGUUUAGCAGAGUGAUGACUCAAAAGUUUGAGAUGUCAAUGAUGGGCGAGUUAAGCUACUUCCUUGGGUUCCAAGUGAAACAACUCAAGGAUGGGACCUUCAUCUCACAAUCGAAGUACACGCAAGACUUGAUCAAGCGAUUUGGGAUGAAGGAUGCCAAGCCCGCAAAGACUCCAAUGGGAACCGACGGACACACCGACCUCUACAAAGGAGGUAAGUCCGUUGAUCAAAAGGCAUACCGGUCUAUGAUAGGGUCUUUACUUUAUUUAUGUGCUAGUAGACUGGAUAUUAUGCUUAGUGUAUGCAUGUGUGCUAGAUUUCAAUCCGAUCCAAGGGAUUGUCACUUAGUGGCUGUGAAGCGAAUUCUUAGAUAUUUAGUCGCUACGCCUUGCUUCGGGAUCUAGUAUCCAAAGGGGUCUACCUUUGACUUGAUUGGAUAUUUAGACCCCGACUAUGCUGGAUGUAAGGUCGAUAGGAAGAGUACAUCGGGGACGUGCCAAUUCUUAGGAAGGUCCCUGGUGUCGUGGAGUUCAAAGAAACAAACUUCUGUUGCCCUAUCCACCGCUGAGGCCGAGUACGUUGCCGCAGGACAGUGUUGCGCGCAACUACUUUGGAUGAGGCAAACCCUCAGGGACUUUGGCUACAAUUUGUGCAAAGUCCCACUCCUAUGUGAUAAUGAGAGUGCUAUCCGCAUGGCGGAUAAUCCUGUUGAACAUAGCCGCACAAAGCACAUAGACAUCCGGCAUCACUUUUUGAGAGACAACCAGCAAAAGGGAGAUAUCGAAGUGUUUCAUGUUAGCACCGAGAACCAGCUAGCCGAUAUCUUUACCAAGCCUCUAGAUGAGAAGACCUUUUGCAGGUUGCAUAGUGAGCUAAAUGUCUUAGAUUCGCGGAACUUGGAUUGAUGUGUAGCAUACAUGUGUUUUAUGCCUUGAUCAUGUUCCUUAAUGCAUUUUGUUGAUUAAUUAUGGUGCUCAAGUUGUACAAGCACUCCCCGGACCUCACAAGUCCAUUUGCAAGUGAUGCACAUAUUUAGGGGGAGUUGUGCUACAACUUGACCCUUUGAGACUAACUGUGUGCUUGAGUUUGCUUAAUUUAGUCUCAAAGGAGGUUGAAAGGGAAAAGGUGGACUUGGACCAUGCAAGACCUCCACUGCACUCCGAUGAAAGAGUAACUGAUUCCAAGUUCAUCUUUGUACUCUUAUUGCCUUUUUUACUCUUAGUUGAAGAUUUUGGUGAGGCAAUGGGGUUAAAGGGCCAAAAUUGAUCCCGUUUUGGUGCUUGAUGCCAAAGGGGGAGAAAAUAAGGCCAAAGCAAGGAAAUGGAUCAGCUACCACUUGAGAAUUUUGAAAAAGAAGAGUUAGAGUUUUUGUUUGUCAAAAUACUCCUGUUUGUCUCUUAUUGUCAAAAGUUGGUCUCUUGUGGGGGAGAAGGCUUAAUUAUGGGAAAAAGGGGGAGUUUUUGAACUCUUUGAUGAAUUUCUCUUGAAAUAUCUCUCUUUAUGUUUCAACAAGUGUGUUUAGAAAUUGAGUUUGAUUUGCAAAAACAAACCAAGUGGUGGCAAAGAAUGAUCCAUAUAUGUCAAAUCUGAAUCAAAACAAUUUUGAGUUCUUAGUUGAAUUGAUUUUGCACUUGUUCUACUUACUUUAUGUUGUGUUGGCAUAAAUCACCAAAAAGGGGGAGAUUGAAAGGGAAAUGUGCCCUUAGGCCAUUUCUAAGUAUUUUGGUGAUUUAGUGUCCAACACAAGUGCCUAAGUGUUAAAUGGUGGACAAAGUACAAAUCGAGUAUAAAGGUAUGUUUCUUAGACUUAGUACAUUGUUUUAGAGACUAAUGUAUUAUGUCUAAGUGCUGGAAACAGGAUAAUCAAGUUGAAACUAAAGAUGGCUUUGUUCAGCCAAAGUCAACUCUGUCUGGGUGCACCGGACUGUCCGGUGGUGCACCGGACAGUGUCCGGUGCGCCAGGCUAGCUCAGGCAAACUUGCUGCUCUCGGGAAGUGAUUAACGGCGUACGACUAUAAUUCACCGGACUGUACGGUGUGCACCGGACUGUCCGGUGAGCCAACGGUCGGCCGGGCCAACGGUCGGCCGCGCGAUUCGCGCGAGACACGUGGCCGAGCCAACGGUUAGAAGGGGGCACCGGACUGUCCGGUGUGCACCGGACAGUGUCCGGUGCGCCAACGGCUCUCAAGUGCCAACGGUCGGCUUCGCCGAAGAAGGAAAGAAAUCCGCACCGGACAGUGUCCGGUGCGCCAGGCGACAGAAGGCAAGAAUUGCCUUCUUGAAUUGCUCUCAACGGCUCCUAGCUGCCUUGGGGCUAUAAAAGGGACCCCUAGGCGCAUGGAGGAGAACACCAAGCAUUCUCUAAGCAUUCCUAAGCACCAAGACUUCGAUUCCGCGCAUUUGAUUCUUUGUGAUAGCAAUUGGAGCUCUAUUUGAGUUGUGAACUCAUCGAGUUGUGUUGUGAGCUCUUGUUGCGACUUGUGUGCGUGUUGUCGCUCUAAUUUUGUGUCUUGUGUGCGUUGCUCAUCCCUUCCUUACUCCGUGCUUCUUUGUGAACAUCAAAGUGUAAGGGCGAGAGACUCCAAGUUGUGGAGAUUCCUCGCAAGUGGGAUAUAGUAAAGUGAAAGCAAAACACCGUGGUAUUCAAGUGGGUCUUUGGACCGCUUGAAAGGGGUUGAUUGCAACCCUCGUCCAUUGGGACGCCACAACGUGGAGUAGGCAAGUGUUGGACUUGGCCGAACCACGGGAUAAACCACUGUGCCACCUCUGUGUUGAUCUCUUUGUGGUUAUCGUGUUGUGCAAGCUCUCUUCUCUAGCCACUUGGCUUAAUUGUGCUAACUCCAAAUCAAGUUUUGUGGAUUAAGUUUCAAGUUUUCACAGGAUCACCUAUUCACCCCCUCUAGGUGCUCUCAAAGCCGGGCUGCGGCUUCCCUCCUGCCCUCAGCUUCAAGGAUGUUCAUCAUCCUCGCUGGGGCGGAAGGCGCGUCGAGCCGGGGUUCUGCCUCCCGUGUGGGCCAGCGGCCCGCUUCUUCCUCCAACAUUUGGGGGAGGAGAGGGGUUCAACAGCCACGCGAAGGAGGCGAACUUCGGCUAUGCGGGGCCGGCCAUGUGCAGGCGCUGACAGCUGCCGCGUGCCUGGCUCUUGGCCUGGGUGGCCCUGUCGCCGCCUCCGACGCUGCCUCCUGCCGUUUGGUCGGGGCGUGGCUGUCCGUCCACCACACGGGCGACCGUCGCGCCGUGCGCGGGUCCGCCACAUCCACGGCUUCUCCCGCGCCGCCGGCCAUACGGGGGGACCGUCCAAGACGCCGUACGUUGCGAGAGUGGUGGUGGCGUUCUUGGAUGGUCUUGUCCUCACUCCGUGGGAGGACGGGAGCGAGGACCUCUUAUGCGGAGGUGGCCGUGGUCGUCGGUGCUGAGGCGGUGGCUGCCGCUGGUGAGGCUGCCCCUUGCAGAGGUGGUUGCCUCCUCUAUCGAGACCAUCAGGGCCACCUGCCACUGAGUCCUUGACUCUUUGGCUUUAAUGGCCUCGUUAUCGCCCCCUAUAGGAGGACGGGGGCGAGGACCUUUCACAGCCGCGCUCACCCUGAGGUGGUCGCUGCUGCUGGCAUACCGCCCAAAGCGGAGGUCGUUGUCGCUGCUGAUGCAGAGGUGGUCGCUGUUGCCGGCGAUCCGUCGAUGCAGAGGUGGUCGCCGCCGCUGGUGAGGCAGCCCGGAGCCAGCUUCCAGCGCGACUCUUGUUGGUGCAGCGUAGUCCAUUCCUGCAGAGAUGGAGCUGGGUCCCGUUUGUAAGGGAAUGUAAUAACAUUUGCUUGAAAGCAAAAUGUAAUAACAUAUGUAUGCAGGAUUUUAGCCUGGGAAACCAAGUUGUGUGUCCGAACCCCCUAGAUGGUGGCUUCAUGUACCAAGACACCUGUCGCAGGGCGGUGGAGUAUGCAGGCUCACGGCACGGGACCAGGCUGAGUGGAUACAUGGCUUCCGGACCCCCCAGGAGACAAGUGUUUGUUCUUCAAAACCGGACCUCCAGUUCGUUGGACGCACAGGACUAUAGUUUUAAAUACUAGAACACCUGUCAUGGAGUGGUGGAGUGUGCAGGGUUUUGGGUACGGAACCAGGCUAACCGGCCACAUAGGCUCUGGACCACCCUAUGGAACAGGCAUCCGUUCCUUAGAACCGACCCCUAGGCCUUCCCCUGUUUUUGUAAAGUAAUAGAUAAUAUCUAUUAAGCAGUAUUUAACACUUAUCUGUGUGUUGCUCGAUCCUGUUGUUAACUUCCCUUGGUACCUGGCCCCCCGCCUGGGGUACAGGCUCGAUGUGUCGAGGCUAGACACCAGCGCGUAUAAAAGAGUUGUCAACGUCCUUCGGGAGGCAGCCUCACCGAGACCUGGAUCUAUACAUAGCUUUAGCUGAAAAGUGUUAGUGAUACACCCGUAGACCCCGUCAUCUGGCAUUUUUCAUCCUUUGAUACAUGCUCGGUAUUUGCAGUGUUUUGGCUAGGGGAAGCAAGUUGUGUGUCCGGACCCCCUGGAUGGUGGUUCUAGAUACUAGGACGCUUGUCACAGAGUGGUAGAACAUGCAGGCCCACGGUACGGGACCAGGCUGAGCGGCUACAUGGUUCCGGACCACCCCAGGAGACAAGCGUCUCUUCUCUAGUUUCAGACCCCAAGUUGUCGGACCCACAGGACUUAUAGCUCUAAGUACAAGGGUGCUCAUCACGGAGUGUUGGAGUGUGCAAGGUUUUGGGUACGGAACCAGGCUAACCGGCCGCACAGGCUCCGGACCACCCCAUGAAACGAGCACUCGUUCCUCAGAGCCGGCCCCCAGACUGUCGGGUCCCCCCUGCUUUCACAUAGAGGUCCUAAACUACAACUCUGGCUGUUCAAUCCAGAUGUCAUUAUGCCUGGUGGGAUGGGAGCAGGGCAGGUGGGUUAGAUAAAACACUAUCAGAAACUGCAGGGUGAGACCGUGGAGCAGUAGGAAAUUGCUAUCAUAGAGGCAUAUCUUGAGAGGGUAGUUUUCCUUUAUAGCUAAUCAUGCAUGGGUGCAGGCCAACAGGCCGGGUUUAUGGGGCACACCCUACCGGGUUGGCACACCCGUGUGCACUACCUAGUUACAAAAAGGGAAAAACUUUGACCCCUUAGACUUGCUCUAUAGAUAAAACUUACAGAGAUAUUUUGACAUUGGGGGAGGCAUUCCUUCAGUCGUAGCUAGACAGUUGCCCUUGGGUCGGGGUACUCACAUUACCAUGAAGGGUCCUUCCCAGCUGGGGGAGUGUUACGGAGCCCUAAUUUGGUCUGGUACCUUUGUAGGAUUAGGUCCCGACCCUGGGUUCCCAUCUGCAUUUGACGAAGGAGGCCCCGCCUUUGGCUGUGGUCAUUCCUGGAUGAACCUAUCAGAAAGCUGGACCCGUGGGGAAUCCAGAUGGGUUUCUGGAGGAAGGUUGUCACACCCGGUUUUGGAAGGCAAACCGAAUGCGAACUAUGUACGUGCCAGGAUCAGAAUUCACGUACACAGCGAUUACAUAAAUGAACAUCAUCGCACAGUGCUCGAAUAAAAACAUGAAAGGGUAUUAACUUAUUACAUCACAGAGUCAUAGACAUCCACAUAGUCAUCAACUUAACAGUUAAAUCAAAGUGCUAGCGAAACACAGUAAAGAUAAGGCCUUCACAGGCAGCUGACUGGGGGUUGCCGCCAACCCACACCUAGAAUUCGUCGUAGUCUUGAAACUCCUGGAAGUCUCCUUCCACGACUUCGUCUUCUCCUGAGCAGUGGUUGCAAUGUGGACAACCUGGUGUUUGGUGGUAAAGCAAGGAUGAGUACACAUCAACGUACUCAGCAAAUGUCCCGUUUGGCUGAAGUGGACUAGCUUUAUGUGGGGCUAGGCUCAAGCAGUUGCUUUUAGUUGGUCAGGUAUUUAUUAUUAGUAGGAGCCAGGUUUUAUCAUAAAACCCAAGUUAUAAUCCCAAAAAGUACUUCCUCAGAGAAGAAAUACUAGAAAACAUAAUUAAAGUCACCAUCUGAAGUGUAUCCGGAGUAUCUCUAAUCAAAGAGGAUCCCAAGGCUGCUCUUAACCGUGAGCACGGCUGAUAUACUAGUUUCACUACCCUCUGCAGAGGUCGCACACUUUACCCAUGAGCCGUGAUUCCCUCUCUAGCCCGGGCUUGCAAGACCCUUAUUCACUCCCAAGGUGAAUGGCCAGGGAUUCACUACGAAGCCUUUACAAAGAUUCCCUAGAGGUCAUAGCUGCCCGUUAGGUUUCUCCAGUUUGAUAAACACAGUACCUCUCCCCGCAGGAAGGUGACUAAAAAGCAAAACGAAAGAACCUCGGCACUCAGCCUCGGUAGAGCAAGCACUGUGCCUGGACCCCAUUGACGGCACGACGGCGAAGCAACUACACUUCUAGUUCCUCUAAUUAAUUAGCUAAGGGCACCCCAUUCCACCCUCAUGGUUGCACUGUUAUCCCGGGUGGUCUCUCAACGAACAGGUCCUUAUGGAGAGGUACUCGAGAAACUGCUCGAGUCCCCUAAAUGCCACAAGUACAUCAUCAUAUCCAGAAUAAAAUCAUAGUAUCAUCAUUGUAUCUCAUAAUGUUCAUUGAUUAAAGUAAAGCGCUAGCAUGUAGCUAACCAUAGUAACCCAAAAGGUAAAUCAAGGACAAGGUGAAUAGAAAGCUAGUAAAUCCUUAGGUUUCAAUUAAGUAAUGCGGGAUAGUGAAUUAUAAGUGAAUAGGACAUAAUGGGUCAGAGGACACUUGCCUUCACCAAAUAGAUGCUCAGGGUCUUCAACCUUGCAGAACUCGAAGAACCAGGUCACUUGGUCACCGAAGCUUGACCGUCGAUUCCUCGAAGCUCGAAAACGGAUCAUAAUCUAAUCGCAACGCGAAGCGAAGACAAACAGGCACAAGCAAACAAACAUAUAUAUGCAUAAGAACGUUACACCAUGCCAAAGAGAACAUAAUAAAAACAUGCAAUACGAAAUAGAGCUCGCUACUACGGUCACGCAAGGAAAAGAACACGAUAGUCUGAGCUAUGGUCGAGAGGUUAUGACGUUUACGCUACGCUAGUAAUAGUCAGGACAUUUAAUUCGACAUUUUCAAAUAUAACUUAUAACUGUCAUUUAGUUUUGAUUAAAUUUAUUACACUAAUAGCUGUCAAAUAAGUAAGUAAUAUAGUUAGCACGAGAGAUUUUAAGCGAGGUGAGUUUACGAUGCAGGAAAAAGCAUGACAUAGCACGCUGACAACACACCAAACGAUGCGCGCGACCAGCGUGAACGACGCGCGAACCAGCACGCCACCACGAGCACAUUACGCGUGAACAGCGUGCAGACAGUGCGACGAUGUGUGAUACUCGCUAACAUAUAACGAGACUAUACUAACCAAGUAUUAAAUGAAAAGUGUUUAAGUUGGUGUUCAUCAAGUUAACAUUUAUCUAUAAAAUCGUGAGUUAGAAAUUAUAAACUAGUUUUAAUUAGAAGACCAUUUUUAAUAAGUAUUGAAUGAACAAAUAAUUAAAUAAUUAAAUAAUUAAAACUUGUGACAUGAUAAAAUACAUUACUAAUACGAAAUCGACGCGACUGAACAAUUAAUUUAGAACAAACACGUUAUGCCGCAGCGAAUCGAUAUCAUGUCUACACUAACCAAACAUAAAUGGUAGACUAACCAAACAUGAAUGAAAACGCUUCGGAUUGAUACAACUACCUUAAUAGAUAUUAACGAAGCGUAGAAUUAAAAUUACAAAUUUGUUUUCGGUUGAAUUGUUAUUUUAAUAACCGACCACUAAACAACUAAUUACUAAUUAAUAAUUUAACAUGCAUGAAGUGGCGAAAUGAUUUUACUAAAACGCGCAACUAGCGAUUUGCGUGAAAGACGGCACGAGCGAAACAUACGAGAAAUACUAAAUAGAGAGUGUGUUUAUACUAAAGAAGUAUUAUUUCGAAAACAUUCUAUUAGACGUAAUUAUAUUAACAUGUAUUUAUAAAGUGAAUCUAAACUAUAAAUGAGUUCAAUUAAUUGCUACUUUAAUAAUUGUCAGAUAAAUAGAUGACCAAUUAAUUAACAUUAGAAAGUGCAUGAUGAUAAAGUAAUGUUACCUAAUACAUCGUUAAUAUAGCUCUACGAAGCUAACACAAAAGAAAUAAGUCGAAACGGAUUUACAACACAAAUAUAUUGGAUAUUUAAUGGUUCGCGGAAUCUAAACGAUGUGGCACGCAACAGCGCGCGCAAACCGCACGUGAACAGUAACAAUGACACAUGCGGAUAGCACAAGCAGUCCGUGCGACAACUCGCGGGCAGUGCACGGGCAACAGCGCAAGACGCGAACUCGCAAACGCUACAAAGAUGCGACGACGUGCGCGAACAACACGACAAGCGGGAAAUCAUUAACAGAUAUCGUGCUUAGAAUGAACACAUAUUAAACAAAUAUAAACAUUUAAUUUGGCUUAAAUCAUGUUAACGUCCAUUUACACGUGCGCAAAUUAAAACUAUACAUUAGUUUUAAUUAGAUCUCUACUUUAACAUCCAUCAGAUAAACAAACAAACAAUUAAUUAGUUAAAACACUUGUCACGAUAAAAUAAUAUUAUUAACUCGCCGGUAACGUUAUUACAAAGCUAAUGCAAGUUGAACAAAGGGAAUCGAAUUUUAUAACGCAACAUAUAUUAAUUAUUUAGUACUUCACUGAUUUUAAACGACGUGGCUAAUUAUUAUUGGUUAGAGGCUGGCCACACCUAUGGUCACACGAAACACAGCCAUAGAGGAUCCCAAGCUUAGGAUCACAUGUGGCUAGCUUCUUCUCUGUUGUAACCGCACAACGCAGAACGCACGACGGUUCUUCUUCCUUGGAGUUUGGACAGGAAAACUGGCAUGGGGAAGAGGGAAGGAGGGGCCAGCUGAGGCCUCACCGGCCAGCUAGCCAGGCCGCCGCGGGGUAGAGGGAGUUGGGUCUGGCCGCUAGCCGGGCCACGCCGCGGCUGCCAGGUUGGGGCGCCGGGCGAGGGCGCUGAUGGACGGACGGCUGGUCGCGGUGCGCGGCGGCUCGCCGGGGCUGCUGGUCGCCACGCCGGGCAAGCCGUGCCUGUUGCUGCGCGCGCUGGCCGCUGCGCUGGGUGAGCCACCGGCUGGCCGCGCCGAGGACGAGGCCAGGCUCGCGCGCCAGCCUAGGGAGCUCGUCGGGGAAGGGCCUCAGCCAUGGCUACGGCACGGCGGCGUACCGCGAGCAGGGCCCGAGGGGCUCCCCGCCGGGGCCAGGGAGAGGGAUGGGAGAAGAACGCGUGGGGAGGGAGAGGAAGAAGGAUCCGUGAGUACCUGGUAACAGUCGCCCUUCACGCCUGCGAUCUGGAUCUGGGGAAACGAUCUGGAUCUGGGGGAAGUCAGGAGGUUUUGCGAUGGCUAGAGUAGUAUUUGUAGAAAAGAGAGGAUGUGGAAGGCGGUUGUAAAAUUUGUCGCAGGUUGCGUCCUGGCCGAGCCAAAGCGACGAUCGCGCGAUGAGUUGCACGAUACAGUAAACGACGGAGACCGAGUUAGGCAGAGGUAGGCGAUGGUAGAUGAAAUAAAGGGGUAACAGGUGUGCGAGCAGCAAACGUUCACGAGGAGGAAAUCCGGUUUGACGACCUCGCGAAAAUGACACAAAUCAUAGAACGAGUUCGACGAGAGGAACACAU
This 26089-nucleotide long non-coding RNA is filed under the name Zea mays. RNAcentral describes it as "long non-coding RNA (ZMAY_LNC003844)". The record is from RNAcentral. Lineage: Eukaryota; Viridiplantae; Streptophyta; Magnoliopsida; Poales; Poaceae.